UACGUAGGGGGCAAGCGUUGUCCGGAUUUAUUGGGCGUAAAGAGCGUGUAGGCGGUUCGGUAGGUCCGUUGUGAAAACUCGAGCUCAACCUCGAGACGCCGAUGGAAACCCCCGAACUAGAAGUCCGGGAAGAAGGAGAGUGGAAUUCCUGGUGGUAGCGGUGAAAUGCGCAGAUAUCAGGAAGAACACCCGUGGCUAAGGCGGCUCUCUAGUACGGUACUGACGCUGAGACGCGAAAGCGUGGGGAGCGAACAGG
This 256-nucleotide ribosomal RNA is filed under the name uncultured bacterium. Its description in RNAcentral is "partial 16S ribosomal RNA". It matches the Rfam family "Bacterial small subunit ribosomal RNA", at positions 524 to 776 of the family's 1533-position model. The record is from RNAcentral.